RNAcentral lists this ribosomal RNA (468 nucleotides) under uncultured bacterium. Its description in RNAcentral is "partial 16S ribosomal RNA". It matches the Rfam family "Bacterial small subunit ribosomal RNA", at positions 28 to 507 of the family's 1533-position model. The record is from RNAcentral.
GACGAACGCUGGCGGCGUGCUUAACACAUGCAAGUCGAACGGAAAGGCCCUGCUUUUGUGGGGUGCUCGAGUGGCGAACGGGUGAGUAACACGUGAGUAACCUGCCCUUGACUUUGGGAUAACUUCAGGAAACUGGGGCUAAUACCGGAUAGGAGCUCCUGCUGCAUGGUGGGGGUUGGAAAGUUUCGGCGGUUGGGGAUGGACUCGCGGCUUAUCAGCUUGUUGGUGGGGUAGUGGCUUACCAAGGCUUUGACGGGUAGCCGGCCUGGGAGGGUGACCGGCCACAUUGGGACUGAGAUACGGCCCAGACUCCUACGGGAGGCAGCAGUGGGGAAUAUUGCACAAUGGGCGGAAGCCUGAUGCAGCAACGCCGCGUGCGUGAUGACGGCCUUCGGGUUGUAAACCGCUUUCGCCUGUGACGAAGCGUGAGUGACGGUAAUGGGUAAAGAAGCACCGGCUAACUACGUG